Molecule: ribosomal RNA, 456 nt
Filed under: uncultured bacterium
Lineage: Bacteria
Description: bacterial SSU rRNA
Rfam family: Bacterial small subunit ribosomal RNA
Source: RNAcentral
UACGGGAGGCAGCAGUGGGGAAUAUUGCACAAUGGGCGCAAGCCUGAUGCAGCCAUGCCGCGUGUAUGAAGAAGGGCCUUCGGGUUGUAAAGUACUUUCAGCGGGGAGGAAGGCGAUGCGGUUAAUAACCGCGUCGAUUGACGUUACCCGCAGAAGAAGCACCGGCUAACUCCGUGCCAGCAGCCGCGGUAAUACGGAGGGUGCAAGCGUUAAUCGGAAUUACUGGGCGUAAAGCGCACGCAGGCGGUCUGUUAAGUCAGAUGUGAAAUCCCCCGGGCUUAACCUGGGAACUGCAUUUUGAAACUGGCAGGCUUGAGUCUUGUAGAGGGGGUAGAAUUCCAGGUGUAGCGGUGAAAUGCGUAGAGAUCUGGAGGAAUACCGGUGGCGAAGGCGGCCCCUGGACAAGACUGACGCUCAGGUGCGAAAGCGUGGGGAGCGAAACAGGAUUAGGAUACC